GACGAACGCUGGCGGCGCGCCUAACACAUGCAAGUCGAACGGAGCUUUGAGAGCUUGCUUUUAAAGCUUAGUGGCGAACGGGUGAGUAACGCGUGAGUAACCUGCCCUGGAGUGGGGGACAACAGUUGGAAACGACUGCUAAUACCGCAUAAGCCCACGGCCCGGCAUCGGGCUGAGGGAAAAGGAUUUAUUCGCUUCAGGAUGGACUCGCGUCCAAUUAGCUAGUUGGUGAGGUAACGGCCCACCAAGGCGACGAUGGUAGCCGGACUGAGAGGUUGAACGGCCACAUUGGGACUGAGACACGGCCCCAG
This 311-nucleotide ribosomal RNA is filed under the name uncultured bacterium. RNAcentral's name for it is "bacterial SSU rRNA". It matches the Rfam family "Bacterial small subunit ribosomal RNA", at positions 28 to 335 of the family's 1533-position model. The record is from RNAcentral.